GACAGAGGCCUCGAGCGUUAGGCGGAAUCACUGGGCUUAAAGCGUGUGUAGGCGGGCCCGUAAGUGUCUUGUGAAAUCCCGCGGCUCAACCGGGGAACGGCUGGGCAUACUGCGGGUCUUGGGCCGACUAGGGGCAGCCGGAACAAGCGGUGGAGCGGUGAAAUGCGUAGAGAUCGGCAAGAACACCAACGGCGAAAGCACUCUGCUGGGCCGACACUGACACUGAGAGACGAAAGCUAGGGGAGCGAAUGGG
RNAcentral lists this ribosomal RNA (253 nucleotides) under uncultured bacterium. RNAcentral describes it as "partial 16S ribosomal RNA". It matches the Rfam family "Bacterial small subunit ribosomal RNA", at positions 524 to 776 of the family's 1533-position model. The record is from RNAcentral.